This is a long non-coding RNA of Bos taurus (domestic cattle), 397 nucleotides long. The record is from Ensembl. NCBI's taxonomy places the organism in Eukaryota, Metazoa, Chordata, Mammalia, Artiodactyla, Bovidae.
CAGGAGUGGUGACUGGUGGUGAUGACUAAUUAUGAUAGAAUCAAAAAUGUUUGAAUUUUGCUCUGCACCUAAUAGUCACAUGGUCACAUAGCAAAGGGAUGAAGAGAACAAUUUUCAGAUUACCCCAAGGAUAUCAGCCACCAUUGCAUUUCAAUUACAGGUAUGACCAACAUACAUCAUGCUUAAAUGUCCGUUGAUGAAGACCCCCUUAAAGACUUUCCAGAGAUGUUUAACUAACAAUCCGCAUGAUGUGGAGAGAAGAUGAAUAGGACAGAGAAGAUGACUCUCUGCAAACCAGAAGAGUGUUCUCACCAGAACCGGACCGUACUGGCACCCUGAUGGUGGACUUCUCAGCCUCCAGAACUGUGAGAAAUAAAUCGGUCGUUUAAGCCAGCCA